AGAGUUUGAUCAUGGCUCAGGAUGAACGCUAGCGGCAGGCUUAACACAUGCAAGUCGAGGGGCAGCGCGGGAUAGCAAUAUCCUGGCGGCGACCGGCGGAAGGGUGCGUAACGCGUGAGCGACAUGCCCGUUGCCCGGGGACAACCGGUGGAAACGCCGACUAAUCCCCGAUGGGAUACGAUGCUUCAUGGCAUUGUAUUGAAAGUUACGGCGGCGACGGAUUGGCUCGCGUCCGAUUAGCUUGUUGGCGGGGUAACGGCCCACCAAGGCUACGAUCGGUAGGGGUUCUGAGAGGAAGGCCCCCCACAAUGGGACUGAGACACGGCCCAUACUCCUACGGGAGGCAGCAGUGAGGAAUAUUGGUCAAUGGGCGGAAGCCUGAACCAGCCAUGCCGCGUGCGGGAAGGAGGCCCUAUGGGCUGUGAACCGCUUUUGCCUGGGGGCAAUAAGGGCGUCGCGCACGUCCGAUGAGAGUACCAGGCGAAUAAGCAUCGGCUAACUCCGUGCCAGCAGCCGCGGUAAUACGGGGGAUGCGAGCGUUAUCCGGAUUCAUUGGGUUUAAAGGGUGCGUAGGCUGUGCGUCAAGUCGGGGGUGAAAUUCCGGUGCUCAACACCGGGGCUGCCCUUGAUACUGUCGCGCUGGAGUGCGGAUGCCGCCGGAGGAAUGUGUGGUGUAGCGGUGAAAUGCUUAGAUAUCACUCAGAACACCGAUUGCGAAGGCAUCUGGCGAAUCCGUAACUGACGCUGAGGCACGAAAGCGUGGGGAUAGAACAGGAUUAGAUACCCUGGUAUUCCACGCCGUAAACGAUGAUGGCUAACCGCCGGCGACACACUGUCGGUGGCCAAGCGAAAGCGAUAAGCCAUCCACCUGGGGAGUACGUCGGCAACGAUGAAACUCAAAGGAAUUGACGGGGGCCCGCACAAGCGGAGGAGCAUGUGGUUUAAUUCGAAGCAACGCGAAGAACCUUACCAAGUCUUGACAUCCUUCCGACCGGUACUUAAUCGUACUUUCUCUUCGGAGCAGGAGUGACAGGUGGUGCAUGGUUGUCGUCAGCUCGUGUCGUGAGAUGUUGGGUUAAGUCCCGCAACGAGCGCAACCCUUAUCUUUAGUAGCCAGCGGUUCGGCCGGGCACUCUAGAGAGACUGCCAGGGAUAACCUGGAGGAAGGCGGGGAUGACGUCAAAUCAUCAUGCCCCUUAUGACUUGGGCUACACACGUGCUACAAUGGCGUAAACAAAGGGAAGCAAAGCUGUGAAGCCGAGCAAAUCUCAAAAAUAACGUCUCAGUUCGGACUGUAGUCUGCAACCCGACU
RNAcentral lists this ribosomal RNA (1312 nucleotides) under metagenome. RNAcentral's name for it is "bacterial SSU rRNA". It matches the Rfam family "Bacterial small subunit ribosomal RNA", at positions 8 to 1317 of the family's 1533-position model. The record is from RNAcentral.